This 422-nucleotide ribosomal RNA is filed under the name Holocneminus sp. Phi9. RNAcentral describes it as "partial 16S ribosomal RNA". It matches the Rfam family "Bacterial large subunit ribosomal RNA", at positions 1831 to 2597 of the family's 2925-position model. The record is from RNAcentral. Lineage: Eukaryota; Metazoa; Arthropoda; Arachnida; Araneae; Pholcidae.
UUCUCUAAGACCUAAUUUAGAGUAAUUCCUGCCCAAUGAAUAAUAUUAAAUAGCCGCAGUCAACUGUGCUAAGGUAGCAUAAUCACUAGCCUCUUAAUUAGAGGAUCGUAUGAAAGGAUAAACGAGAUAAAUACUGUCUCAUAAAAACAAGAUAAAUUCACUUAAUAGUAAAAAGGCUAUUAUUUAAAAAAAAGACGACAAGACCCUGAUAAACUUAUUAAUUUAGCUGGGGAGGCUAAUAAAAAAACCUUAAUAAUUUACUUAAAAUAUCUAUUAAAAUAUUUAUAGUUACUACAGGGAUAACAGCGCUACCUACUUCUAGAGUCCUUAUCUAAAAGAAGUCCUACGACCUCGAUGUUGAAUUAUUUUUCCUAAUAAAAGCAAAAUUUUAAAAUGGAGGUCUGUUCGACCUAUAAUUAACU